GACGAACGCUGGCGGCGUGCUUAACACAUGCAAGUCGUGGGCACCAGCAAUGGUGACCGGCGAACGGGUGCGUAACACGUGAGCGACCUACCGAUUUGUGGGGGAUAGCCGGCCCAACGGCCGGGUAAUACCGCAUACGCCGAGCUUGCCGCAUGGCUUGCUCGGGAAACCUCCGGGGCAAAUCGAGGGGCUCGCGGCCUAUCAGCUAGUUGGCGAGGUAAUGGCUCACCAAGGCGACGACGGGUAGCUGGUCUGAGAGGAUGGCCAGCCACAUUGGGACUGAGAAACGGCCCAGACUCCUACGGGAGGCAGCAGUGGGGAAUCUUGCGCAAUGGCCGAAAGGCUGACGCAGCGACGCCGCGUGUGGGAUGAAGCUCUUCGGGGU
This 385-nucleotide ribosomal RNA is filed under the name uncultured bacterium. RNAcentral describes it as "bacterial SSU rRNA". It matches the Rfam family "Bacterial small subunit ribosomal RNA", at positions 28 to 424 of the family's 1533-position model. The record is from RNAcentral.